Molecule: ribosomal RNA, 393 nt
Filed under: uncultured bacterium
Lineage: Bacteria
Description: partial 16S ribosomal RNA
Rfam family: Bacterial small subunit ribosomal RNA
Source: RNAcentral
AUACGGAGGAUCCGAGCGUUAUCCGGAUUUAUUGGGUUUAAAGGGAGCGUAGGUGGACAGUUAAGUCAGUUGUGAAAGUUUGCGGCUCAACCGUAAAAUUGCAGUUGAUACUGGCUGUCUUGAGUACAGUAGAGGUGGGCGGAAUUCGUGGUGUAGCGGUGAAAUGCUUAGAUAUCACGAAGAACUCCGAUUGCGAAGGCAGCUCACUGGAAUGCAACUGACACUGAUGCUCGAAAGUGUGGGUAUCAAACAGGAUUAGAUACCCUGGUAGUCCACACAGUAAACGAUGAAUACUCGCUGUUUGCGAUAUACAGUAAGCGGCCAAGCGAAAGCAUUAAGUAUUCCACCUGGGGAGUACGCCGGCAACGGUGAAACUCAAAUGAAUUGACGGGG